AGAAUCAACGCUGGCGGCGUGCCUAACACAUGCAAGUCGAACGAGAAAGUGGAGCAAUCCAUGAGUAAAGUGGCGCACGGGUGAGUAACACGUGACUAACCUACCCUUGAGUUCGGAAUAACUUCGGGAAACCGAGGCUAAUACCGGAUAAUAUCUACGGAUCAAAGGAGCAAUUCGCUUAAGGAGGGGGUCGCGGCAGAUUAGUUAGUUGGCGGGGUAAUGGCCCACCAAGACGAUGAUCUGUAUCCGGCCUGAGAGGGCGCACGGACACACUGGAACUGAAACACGGUCCAGACUCCUACGGGAGGCAGCAGUGGGGAAUUUUGCGCAAUGGGGGAAACCCUGACGCAGCAACGCCGCGUGGAGGAUGAAAUCCCUUGGGAUGUAAACUCCUUUCGAUCGGGACGAUUAUGACGGUACCGGAAGAAGAAGCCCCGGCUAACUUCGUGCCAGCAGCCGC
RNAcentral lists this ribosomal RNA (460 nucleotides) under uncultured bacterium. RNAcentral describes it as "SSU rRNA". It matches the Rfam family "Bacterial small subunit ribosomal RNA", at positions 26 to 518 of the family's 1533-position model. The record is from RNAcentral.